Vicia villosa (hairy vetch) is the source of this 1486-nucleotide long non-coding RNA. RefSeq lists it as uncharacterized. The transcript has 5 exons. The record is from RefSeq and is a predicted model, not a curated record. NCBI's taxonomy places the organism in Eukaryota, Viridiplantae, Streptophyta, Magnoliopsida, Fabales, Fabaceae.
UCUCUCUCUCACACGUGUUUCUUCUUCUUCUUCUGUCUCUUCCCUCUUCUCUCUAUUCUUUCUUUUGUCUUCCUUCUCUAACUUUUUGAUUUUUGUCCUAUUCCCAACCAUUUUCGGUUUCAAAUAUGUGAAAUUUGAUAAACCCUAAUCCAAACAUUUGUUCGGUUACAAAUCUAUGAUAUUUGAUUUGGGUGGGUGCGAUUUUUGGUUUCAGGUGUGUUUCGACGGUUGAAAUCAAAAGCACUAUAGUAGAUCUGUGAUGGAGACAACAAAGACUACGACAUUUUCAGCGGUGUUCAGUUUCACUAUGGUAGAUCUGUGAUGGAGGCAACGCUUUUUCGACAACGAUUUGAGUGAUGGUCGGAUUCAAAAUGGUGGAUGUGUGACUUUUUUUAGUUUUUGUGCAAGCUUCUGUUUUAAGACUUUUUUUAUGGUUUUUUCUUACAUUUUACAUCAAUGAUUUUAUAACUUUGGAAUUUUUAUGUUUUUAUGAAGUUUGGAUCUUGUUGGAUGAGGAUGAGGACUUCAUUUCAAAUCUUUCAGAUUUUUGACAGUUUGUGUUCUAUAAAGAGAGUCAUUUUGUUUUAAUAAUAACCAUUAUUGAUGUAUUUAUAUUUAUUUACAGAUCUCUCAUUUUGAGGACAACAACUAUGGUGUUUCCUGCAGUUUUAUGGCGGUGUACGGUUUCACAAUGGUAUAUCUUCUUCCUUUUCAGAAUAUAAACUGGAUCGAGUUUUACCGUUGAGUUAUGAAGCUAACAAGGUUUUAGACUGGAUCGAGUUUUACCGCUGAGUUUUGAAGCUAACAAGGUCUGAAUAAACACCAGAGGCAAUAGGUCACCUGAAAAACUGUUUGUUCUCCUCGACAUGUAUGAGAUAAUGAAAGAGCUUCAACUAGAGGUCUGAAUAAACACCAGAGGCAAUAGGUCACCUGAAAAACUGUUUGUUCUCCUCGACAUGUAUGAGAUAAUGAGAGAGCUUCAACCAGAGGUAUUGUUAAGUUUUAACUGUUUUUCGGGUUUUUGAAUGUGCAGAAUUUUGUGGUGAAUGUUAGAAAGGGCUUGAUAUGUCUCAGUCUGAACCACGGGUUUAGUGAUGAUAAUGCUUUGUUUUUGGUAUGAAUAUUGUAGGAUUGUAUUGGUGUUGGCCAUUCGGUUUGUUGUUUUGAAUGAAAUGCAGGUCUGAAUAAACACCAGAGGCAAUAGGUCACCUGAAAAACUGUUUGUUCUCCUCGACAUGUAUGCGAUAAUGAGAGAGCUUCAACCAGAGGAUUGUAUUGGUGUUGGCCCUUCGGUUUGUUGUUUUGAAUGAAAUCCAGGUCGGAAUAAACACCAGAAGCAAUAGGUCACCUGAAAAACUGUUUGUUCUUCUCGACAUGUAUGAGAUAAUGAGAGAGCUUCAACCAGAGGUUUUGUUAAGUUAAAACUUCUUGUCUUUGUUUCACUGGAUUAACGCAUCUACAUUUAGACCACUUUUUAGCCAACUAU